UACGUAGGGACCGAGCGUUGUUCGGAAUUAUUGGGCGUAAAGGGUGCGUAGGCGGUUUGGUAAGUCUGAUGUGAAAUCUAUGGGCUCAACUCAUAGUCUGCAUCGGAAACUGCCGGGCUUGAGUGUGGGAGAGGUGAGUGGAAUUCCUGGUGUAGCGGUGAAAUGCGUAGAUAUCAGGAGGAACACCUGUGGCGAAAGCGGCUCACUGGACCAUAACUGACGCUGAUGCACGAAAGCUAGGGGAGCAAACAGG
RNAcentral lists this ribosomal RNA (253 nucleotides) under uncultured bacterium. RNAcentral's name for it is "partial 16S ribosomal RNA". It matches the Rfam family "Bacterial small subunit ribosomal RNA", at positions 524 to 776 of the family's 1533-position model. The record is from RNAcentral.